This 446-nucleotide ribosomal RNA is filed under the name uncultured bacterium. RNAcentral's name for it is "partial 16S ribosomal RNA". It matches the Rfam family "Bacterial small subunit ribosomal RNA", at positions 338 to 795 of the family's 1533-position model. The record is from RNAcentral.
CCUACGGGUGGCUGCAGUCGAGAAUCAUUCACAAUGGGGGAAACCCUGAUGGGGCGACGCCGCGUGGGGGAAUGAAGGUCUCCGGAUUGUAAACCCCUGUCAUGUGGGAGCAAAUUAAAAAGAUAGUAACACAAGAGGAAGAGACGGCUAACGCUGUGCCAGCAGCCGCGGUAAUACAGAGGUCUCAAGCGUUGUUCGGAAUCACUGGGCGUAAAGCGUGCGUAGGCUGUUUCGUAAGUCGCGUGUGAAAGGCGCGGGCUCAACCCGCGGACGGCACAUGAUACUGCGAGACUAGAGUAAUGGAGGGGGGACCGGAAUGCUCGGUGUAGCAGUGAAAUGCGUAGAUAUCGGGAGGAACACUGGUGGCGAAGGCGGGUUCCUGGACGUUAACUGACGCUGAGGCACGAAAGCCAGGGGAGCGAAAAGGAUUAGAUACCCUUGUAGUC